Molecule: long non-coding RNA, 527 nt
Filed under: Homo sapiens (human)
Lineage: Eukaryota; Metazoa; Chordata; Mammalia; Primates; Hominidae
Description: HSALNT0193112
Source: RNAcentral
GUUAUGUUUAGGUCUAACGUGGUGCUUGAUGCCUGGUGGUUUUUCAGUAGUAUAUAUUGACUACUUGUUGGCCCUGUAGAGAGGAUGACUUCAUUAGGGAGAGAUCAGCUAGAAAGUUGUUGUCGUUCUUAAAAUCGUUGCAUAUUGGAGUCAUUUGGAAUUCUUAAAAACAAACCAGAUUUUUGAGUUUCUCAAUUGAAUCAGAAUUUCUGGACCUCUGGCCCUCAGUCUAGGGAUAACGAAAGUUUGAAUUCAGGAAGAAAAUGUUGGGGAAGAAGAUAAAUGUGAACUAGAGGUCUGGACUUCCCAAGUGGAGAUGUUCAGUAGGCAGGAGAAAAUACAGGUCCAGCACUCAGAAGACAAGUAGAGGCCAGGUGUUGGGUAUGUGUAAAUGUUGAAGAGAAGUUGAGUCAAAUAAGGACUGAGAAGUGGCCGCUGAAUGUGACAAUUGGGUCAUACCUAUUUCAGUUUCAAGAGAGUCACAGGGGGAAAUGAAUGACUAGGAAGUAAGGGAAUAGAAACAGGGA